This 369-nucleotide ribosomal RNA is filed under the name Triticum aestivum (bread wheat). Its description in RNAcentral is "partial small subunit ribosomal RNA". The record is from RNAcentral. Lineage: Eukaryota; Viridiplantae; Streptophyta; Magnoliopsida; Poales; Poaceae.
AUGAUGGCCGAGGAUCUUCGCACUCGGAAGGUCAUCCUGAUCUCCGCUAGCUCCGGCGACCUCUACCCCUUUUUCGGCAAUAACAAGGCUUGGCGCGCUGCCUUCACCACUACUGUCUCCGAUGGCGAUGUAUGGCACCGGAGGCUUGGCCACCCUAGUGCUCAAUCUUUUACUUCCAUAGCACAUGAUUUUAUUCUACCUUGCAAUAAACCUCAUAUGCCGUGUGAUGCGUGUCAACUUGGACGCCAACCCCGUCUCCCUUUUACUUCUUCUACUAGUCGCACAUUUGCUCCCUUUGAUUUAAUUCAUUGUGAUUUAUGGACCUCUCCGGUUGUGAGCUUCUCCGGUUACCAAUACUACUUAGUUGUA